GUGGAAAUACGACUGCAGCAUUCCUCUGCGUCGGACGUCCGUGGUCCAGCAGUGGAAACCUCCGCCCAGGGAGUUAGCGUGACGAAUGCUCACUUUAAUCGUCUUUAUACCUGUUAGAAAAACACAUUUUCCCAGUCCCUGCUGAUGAAAGGCAUUUACACAACAUGAUGCUUCCACCACCAUGUUUCACAGCGGGAACAGUCUUCUCAGGGCGAUUAGCAGUGUUGGGUUUUGUGAAAAGGCCAAAAUGUUUGAGUCUCCAAUAUGUAUUUUGGCAAACUCCAAAUGGCAUCUCAUAUGACUCGCUACUCUUCCACAAAGUCCUGCUGUGUGGAAUGUUCAGACUGUGGUUGUCCUAUCUUCAGCUCCUUCAGAGUUCUCCUUGUGCUCUUGGUUGUGUCUCUGACUAAUCCCCUCUAUACCUGCUCGCUGACUUUUGGUGGACGUCUCCUCUAAGCAGAGUCAUGGUUAAAUCAUAUUUUUUAAUAAUGGAUUUAAUAAUAUGUGGGAUGUUCAAUGUUCUGGAUCAUUUGUUUAUAAACAAAGUCUGAUGGAAACAUUUCCAGAACUUUGUCCUGGACUUGUUUUGAUCGCUCCUUGGUCUUCAUGAUGCCGUGUGUCCAGAUAUGUUCAAAACUAUCUCUGGGUUCUUCCAGGAACAGGUGUAUUUAUACUGAGAUCACGUGACCCUUUAAACGCACACAUGCCAACCCCAAUGGGAGUGUUCACACUGGGGAAACUCACUAAGAUGUAGUACGCGAAAGUGUGCUGUGUUGAUCAGUAAAAAUGACUUUUAUGAUACUUACCAAGAUUUUCAAACAUUUUUUGAAUGGUAGUCUCGUUAGCAUCCACCAUGACACGUUUCUCGUCCAGCAUCAGGACGUUCAUGGACAACCACUUGGAGGACAUCCAGAGUGGGUGAUCUGAGACAAAUCGAAUUGUUACAGCAUACAGUUAUAUUGUUAUCUGCACUUUUACAUGAUGUGUCUAUAUAUUUUUUAUUUGAGGUUUAAGGCUCUUAAUGUUUGAUAACUUUGAUGACUUUCGGACGGGAAGGUAUGCGGUUUUCACCGCCGUGUGAACGUGAAACUCACCGUCAGGAAUUAAAGGUGUUGGUGGACGCACCACCGUCCAGCCAGCCUUCUUAAACAUCUCAAUCUGCAGAAGGACACCAGACACUUGACAUCAGACAUUAAUGGUAAUUACACAGCACUUCCAUUGUAUCACCACAGUUUGCUAUUGGCCUAGCUCCUGGCCACCUUCAUUGUUUGCUGUGUUCCAGGUCCUUUAUUCUUAAUUCCCUUUUCCCUAGUUUGUAGUUUCUUUGUUCCUAGUCUUCACAUUUGUAGUGUAGAAUUUUUAGUUUUUUUGUUUCCCUGUUCCCAACUUCCUUGUCCUUAAAUAAUUUCUUUUGAUCUUUUGUAAGAUUCCACUUGUUUGUGUUUUAUGCCAUGUAGAAAAACGUCACCUCUCACUCUGAGGUAUCAAGUAGCUCACCUGAAUUAGGCGUAGAUCUUACCUGUUGCUCACAUUAAAAAACUGGGGAGGUGUAAUAAAAAUGUCAAUUUAAUUAAGUCCUCCUUUGGAAAAGGAGCUUCCCCUUCAUCUUGACUCAGUAUAGGCUACAGGGGUUUAAAAACCAACACUACUCCUAAGCAAAGUGCCUAGUAUAGAAGCAUAAAACAAAAAGGGUGUGGCACUCACCUGGCGGCAUGGUCUCUCUGGAUUGGACAGCACCAGUCCGGGUCCGAUGAAGUUAAAGGUGGCGUCGAUGUGCUUGGGGUUCGGAUCCUUAAAUGAGAUGACGUGCACUUUGUAGGUGGGAGCGAGGUGACGCCUCAUCCACUCGAUUCCCAUAAAGUUAGUAACCUGUGAGCAGGUGUGAACAUCAUUAACUCUUUAUAGUCUGUUCUCUGAGAGAAUAGAACUUUAAACAUAUAUAAAAAUUAUAUCAUUUAAAGAUGCAACAGAACACAACAUUACUAAGUAGUUUGUGGAGAUGUCGUUGGUUUUGAUAUCGAACCACACUGGCUUCCACAAACAAUAUGGCAAUAAAAUAACUGCGGAGAAAACGGACUUCGUGUGGAGACGUUACUCGGCAUGCUCUGACUAGAGCAGCUGACCAGACACGCUACAUGAUCAGGCCUGGGAUUGGGUGUUAAAAACAAGGCAUGCUCAAGCCAGGUCAUUCAAAGAUUGAUGACUUUGUGGUACAGCAAUCUUCUUCCUGAAGUAGUGGAAAUUGUCACGACGGAAGAUUUUAAUAGCGCCACCUGUAGUACUGGAGUACUCGUACAUGAUGGCCAAUAUGAAACCACAGAGAGUUUGCAAGCUUGUAAGCUUGAGAAGGUGGCUCUCAUCGUCUCCAUAUGAAGAAUGCUGAGGUGUUUAGGAGAUUAAUAACGCUAACACUCAAAACAACACAUUUAUGUAUACACACACACACACACACACACACACACAUAUUCCUUACACCCAAGCCUUCAUGUGUGUAUGGGAUUUUUUUUGUCACCUGGCUCCUCUGCACAAACAGAUCUGUUCCGGCUCGGAUGAAAUCAGCAGCGUCAAAACACGGCUCAUGUUCAGUGGUGACAAACUUUCCCUCUGCAGCCAGUUUGUGUCUGUCCUCUACUGUACGGAUUGGUGGAAUGUUCACCUGCAGCAUAAGAGGAGAGCUAGCGCUAUUAAACCAUGCUAUGGCCUGUGUUUUUCCUGAAGCUCCACCCUGCCCCUGUCCCCCAGUCCCCCAGUCCCCAAGAGCAUAUGUUUUGUGGAAGAAAAAAAAAUCAUCUGUUUUUCGAAGCAGUUUUGUCAGGCUGAAAUGCAGUGAACACCUGAAGUGGAUCAGUCAGUGCUCUAAGUGAAAUCUGAUUUCAUUAUGUCUCCUUUACAGCUCCAUGUUUACAAGAACAAUCCCCACUCGAACAAAACCAGCAGGUAGAAAGAGACGCAUUCAUCAAACAUGAGAGAGUUUUAAAAGUGUGUAAGAGAGCUGGAAAAAGAGGGAGGGUGAUAAGCGAGAGAUCGUUUUGCUGAGUGAGAAUGACCUUGGUUUAAAACAAACACACCUGUCCUGAAUAGAAACAUGAACACACUGGAGUACGCUCACUAACACACUUCAGAAAACAGGAGUUGAAGAGUAAUUAAUAAUAAUAAUAAUAAUAAUAAUAAUAAUAAUUAUAAUAAUUAUAAUAAUAAUCCCUCACUCUGUACAGAAACAUCUCUGCCCACUAACUACCUAAAAUACUAGCAGGCCAACUAUCUGAAAAGUUAAGUUUAUUUCAGUCCAGACCUCAUCAGGGUAUGAUGCAGGGUCUUUGGUGUGAUGUCAUGAUUCAGUUAGUAACCUUAGCAAGAUUAUGAAAAUAACCAAAUAAAAAAAAUGGACCAAGAGAAGUCAACCACGGGUAAGUGGAUGAUGAGUAAAAUUUACAAUUGGAACAAGGGGUGUGUGUGUGUGUGUGUGUGUGUGUGAGAGAGAGAGAGAGAGGAAGACCUGAUCGUAUAGCUCGUCUGCCAUGGUGGGUUUGGGUGCGGUGGUCCACUUUGCUCCUUGUCUAAAGUACUCUUUAAUGAGCGGCCUGUAAGCACGAUACUCGAAAAACCGAGCUCUCCACGCCAUCGGAGCCUCAAUGAUCUCGUUCCCCACAACCAACAGGAUGUCCCGCGGCAUGGCUGCGUACAUACCUACACACACACACACACACACACACACACAGCAUUGUGUUCCAUGCUGCCGUAAGGAAACAGCAAACGCAUGAUAUUAACUUUAACUGUCUGUCUGUAUGUAUGUAUGUGUGUAUGUAUGUAUGUAUGUAUGUAUGUGUGUGUGUGUAUGUAUGUUAUCUUUGCUCCUGCUCAAUCAGGACACGCUUUACUGAACUCGUAUUAGUGAAGAUCACUCUUUACUUCACUGUGAUUGUGAUGUAAGGUUAAUCUCAGGGUCCGUCCCACCUGUGGAUGUGAAGUCGGGGGUUUUGUACUCGAAGGACCAGUCGAUGGGUUCAGGUCUCCUCACGACGACGCCUUCAUGGCGCAGGAUAUUGCACAUUUCCUCGAUUUCAGUAAUCGCCUUCUUCAGGUGCUCCUCAGGGAAUGUCUGCCCUCCGUAUUUCUGAUAAAAUGGCCAGUACUUCUCGUACGUGUUGGCCUGACGGAAAAACAAAAAGAGGGUGAGUAGAUGAGUGAAUGAGUGUGAGUGCGUGAGUGAAUGAGUGAGCUGAGAGUGAAUGAAUGAAUGCUCGUUGUCUGUACCUUGACCUCUACAGUAAACGGAGGGACGCGUGCGUUUUCCGCGCGCCCCACAAUCACUUCCUCCAGCAGGUCCCACUCGUUAUAAGCGCAAACUGGACACUCAUCAGGCACAGGCUCAUUGAUGCCCACGACCUCAGCUGCGUGUGAUCUCACGGCAGCCGCCGAGCUCGAGCUCUGAAACGCCUUCUGAACCCAACGGGACGCCGGUCCGAUAUGCACGCUCUGACAUCCGAUCUACCAUUUUCUGUUGGUGUUAGCCUGAUGCUGCUAUUGGAUAUCAGAUCGGUGCCACCUCUACAUUAAUGUAUUCAUUUUAUUCAUGUGAACGAGGCAAAAUAUGCAUUUAAAUGUUUGAAGGUGGACUAAAUGAGAGAAAGGUUAUGAGUGAGCGCAUGAAGACAUUAAGAAUCCUGUACAUGAAAUAUAUGAGUAAAUGAAUAGAGAAUAAUGGAUUCAUUAAAUACGGAAGUAAAUUGGCGAAGUGAGUAAAAUACUGGAUAAAUAAAUACCUGCAUGACUAACCUACUGAAUGAAUGACUGGAUGAAUAAAUGGUUAAGUAAACGUCUGAGUUGAUGAAUACAUUAGUAAAUUCAUGAACGGAUGACUGCUUGAAUAAAUGCAUGAAGAUAUAGAGUUUGUCACAUGAAUGAAUAUGUAAAGAAAAGGGUGUUUAAAUAAUGCAUGAACUGAAGGGCUGGAUGAAUCAACACAUGAAUGAAUGGAUGAAUGACAGCCCUGAAUUUUUUCCUGUACCGAGUACAGUAGUGUGCACUUUGUCGUCUCCAUUUGCUGCACAGCUGUAGAGGAAUGAAUCUCUCCAUCACUGAUAACGCUGAUAACAGGAACACGUUUACCCACACAAAGGUCAACACGCUCUCACUCAUGUGGAAGAGAUGAUGGAAAAAAAAGCCCAGAUACAGAGGCAGCAGUUUUGGUGGUGGGGAAAAGAUCAUUUUAUUCUCAUAUCAUUACAGAGAAGGUUUAUUUACUUGGGAAAAGAAAAAAAAAGAGGACAAGUUAAACCUCAAAUGUUUGUAUUAUUUGCAUAACUCCAAUUUUUUUGUUGAAGUUUUAAUAACAAUAAUUACAGUUCUGUUAAAAUAACUUUGUGUAAUGUUAAAUGUACAAAAACUUGUUUAUAGUUAAAUAUUUACUUGUAUUCAUAUUAAUAAGAAUGAUGUAUGUUAAUUGUACAAAUAUAUACUGACCAUACAUUGAUGCAGUAAUUUAAUAUGAUAAAUGAUGUGUAACUAUAUAAGCUGUUGUCUGAGUUAAAAUGAUUUUAAUGUGUAAUAAUAAUAAUAAUAAUAAUAAUAAUAAUAAUAAUAAUGUGUUUUAGCAUAUAUUCAUAUCCUGAGUAAAUAGUGAUGAGAAUGUUGUACUUUUUGUUGUUUAAUGUUUGUAAAGUGAAUGUUACAGUUGUGUGUACUGACCAUGGCUCCGAUUAAGUGAGCAGCCUCGGCUCCUCGGCUUCCUCCUCUCAGACAGCG
Long non-coding RNA from Ictalurus furcatus (blue catfish), 5745 nucleotides. RefSeq lists it as uncharacterized. The record is from RefSeq and is a predicted model, not a curated record. The transcript is spliced from 5 exons. NCBI's taxonomy places the organism in Eukaryota, Metazoa, Chordata, Actinopteri, Siluriformes, Ictaluridae.